Poecilia reticulata (guppy) is the source of this 493-nucleotide non-coding RNA. The record is from RefSeq and is a predicted model, not a curated record. NCBI's taxonomy places the organism in Eukaryota, Metazoa, Chordata, Actinopteri, Cyprinodontiformes, Poeciliidae.
GUUUUUACCUCCAUAGGCCGGAUGUAACACGAGAGUUGACAUAUGUGUAGGGUGCCAAGAGGGUUGGACUUGGUUCGAAGGUCGAUGUUUCCACUAUGUGGCAACUAAAAUGUCCUGGGGUGACGCAGAGAAAUUUUGCCUCACAUCGGGUGCAAAUCUGGCCUCAUUCCACACUGUAGCGGAGUACAAUUUCAUCAGAGACUUUGUCUACAAAUCAAGUGGAAAAUACACACAAAGUUGGGUUGGCGCUUAUGAUUCAAUAGAGGUGAGAUUUUAAAAACACAAAUAACUGACUGGUUGAUCACUUUUUAUGUCAAUAUGCAUUUCUUCUGGCACUUUGUGUAAAUGCUUUGAGACGACAUUUGUUGUUAAUUGGCGUCAUAUAAAUGAACUGAAUUGAACAGGUGUUCCUAAUAAAGUGGUCAGUUCAGUCAAAGACAUUCCAGUUGAUCCUGGUUUUAACACGAUGCAGUUACUGCAGAUUAGAAUAUCA